AGUGAACGCUGGCGGUAGGCCUAACACAUGCAAGUCGAACGGCAGCACAGUAAGAGCUUGCUCUUACGGGUGGCGAGUGGCGGACGGGUGAGGAAUACAUCGGAAUCUACUUUUUCGUGGGGGAUAACGUAGGGAAACUUACGCUAAUACCGCAUACGACCUACGGGUGAAAGCAGUGGAUCUUCGGACCUUGCGCGAUUGAAUGAGCCGAUGUCGGAUUAGCUAGUGGGCGGGGUAAAGGCCCACCAAGGCGACGAUCCGUAGCUGGUCUGAGAGGAUGAUCAGCCGCACUGGAACUGAGACACGGUCCAGACUCCUACGGGAGGCAGCAGUGGGGAAUAUUGGACAAUGGGCGCAAGCCUGAUCCAGCCAUACCGCGUGGGUGAAGAAGGCCUUCGGGUUGUAAAGCCCUUUUGUUGGGAAAGAAAAGCAGCAGGUUAAUACCCCGCUGUUCUGACGGUACCCAAAGAAUAAGCACCGGCUAACUUCGUG
RNAcentral lists this ribosomal RNA (492 nucleotides) under uncultured bacterium. RNAcentral's name for it is "partial 16S ribosomal RNA". It matches the Rfam family "Bacterial small subunit ribosomal RNA", at positions 29 to 507 of the family's 1533-position model. The record is from RNAcentral.